UGCUGUAUUCUUAUAGCUCGCUUGAAACAAGCUUUAAAAAAGUUUAGAGGGGAUGAGAAGCAGCCAAAGCUUCGUUUGGUACUCAUUUCUUGAACUAUACUCCCACAUUUAGCUUUCUUUUUCUUCUAUUGUCUCGGAUGUUAGCCUGACAGGGAAGUUUUUAGCCUGACAGGGAAGUUUUUGUUUUUAUUGUUUUUGUAUCUUGUAUGAACAAUGUAGAUUACUGAUGAGAAUAGUGGGGGUUUUAAUGGAAUGACCAAUACACGUUGUGAAAGCAAGCGCGAAAUGAAAGCUCCAAGUUUGGUUGCUAGGU
This 313-nucleotide long non-coding RNA is filed under the name Capsicum annuum. Its description in RNAcentral is "long non-coding RNA (CANN_LNC003659)". Lineage: Eukaryota; Viridiplantae; Streptophyta; Magnoliopsida; Solanales; Solanaceae. The record is from RNAcentral.